This 195-nucleotide ribosomal RNA is filed under the name uncultured bacterium. Its description in RNAcentral is "partial 16S ribosomal RNA". It matches the Rfam family "Bacterial small subunit ribosomal RNA", at positions 1307 to 1500 of the family's 1533-position model. The record is from RNAcentral.
GAAACUCGCCUACAUGAAGCUGGAGUUACUAGUAAUCGCAGAUCAGAAUGCUGCGGUGAAUGCGUUCCCGGGUCUUGUACACACCGCCCGUCACACCACGGAAGUUGGGGCGCCCGAAGCCACUUAGCUAACCCUUUUGGGAAGCGAGUGUCGAAGGUGAAAUCAAUAACUGGGGUGAAGUCGUAACAAGGUAGC